CCCUUCACUGAAUUUCUUUACUAAGCAACCAGAUAGUGAAAACUAUGCUGUGAACCUCAUAAUUUCUGUUCUUUUAUAGGAGACAGCUGGGAAUGGUAACACCAGAUGUUCUGGACUGCAACCCCCUCUGAUCACCGACUGUAUGGUCCAGGGCUGACAGCCACUUUCGUGUAUAUCCUAUUUGUUUGGGCAAUGCAGAUGGAAGAAUUGGGAUUAGUUGGAAUAUUCACCAUAAGUAGUUCGCAUAUAUAUCCUGAUGGAAGAAAAACUAAGCACUCAGAGCUGGUAUAAUCCUUCCCACUCUAGGUACAUUUGGGUUUGAUGUGCUUCCUUUUUGCCUUGCACUGUGGCAGAGAUUAAACAUCUGCAGCCCAGCACGAUAGAGAGGCUUUCCCCCUAACUGCAGUGAGCAACAUUUUGUGACCCCAGCACCUUUUCCAGAUUCAUAAUGCCUUGAUGCCAGCCCAGCUUCACAAAAAGAAAAUAGCGAGAAAAAGUGACUACAGAUUACAUUUUUUUCAGUCUAAAAAAAAUAGCAAAAUGUUGAAAACUGUUUUAUAUUUCUUUAAUUCAAUGUCAUUGGAAGAAGGUACUUGUUAAGUACAGAGCUAGCAUGCUCACUCAGGCUAUUUAAUACUGACAAGUCAUUUAAAAGGAAUUUAAUACCUGUACUUUUAAGUAUCUGAUUUUAAAUUA
Molecule: long non-coding RNA, 696 nt
Organism: Ahaetulla prasina
Lineage: Eukaryota; Metazoa; Chordata; Lepidosauria; Squamata; Colubridae
Exons: 4
Source: RefSeq, a predicted model, not a curated record